Molecule: ribosomal RNA, 492 nt
Filed under: uncultured bacterium
Lineage: Bacteria
Description: partial 16S ribosomal RNA
Rfam family: Bacterial small subunit ribosomal RNA
Source: RNAcentral
AGUGAACGCUGGCGGUAGGCCUAACACAUGCAAGUCGAACGGCAGCACAGUAAGAGCUUGCUCUUACGGGUGGCGAGUGGCGGACGGGUGAGGAAUACAUCGGAAUCUACUUUUUCGUGGGGGAUAACGUAGGGAAACUUACGCUAAUACCGCAUACGACCUACGGGUGAAAGCAGGGGAUCUUCGGACCUUGCGCGAUUGAAUGAGCCGAUGUCGGAUUAGCUAGUUGGCGGGGUAAAGGCCCACCAAGGCGACGAUCCGUAGCUGGUCUGAGAGGAUGAUUAGCCACACUGGAACUGAGACACGGUCCAGACUCCUACGGGAGGCAGCAGCGGGGAAUAUUGGACAAUGGGCGCAAGCCUGAUCCAGCCAUACCGCGUGGGUGAAGAAGGCCUUCGGGUUGUAAAGCCCUUUUGUUGGGAAAGAAAAGCAGCAGGUUAAUACCCCGCUGUUCUGACGGUACCCAAAGAAUAAGCACCGGCUAACUUCGUG